CAACCUGCCCACCACUUGGGGAUAACCUUGCGAAAGUAAGACUAAUACCCAAUGAUAUCUCUAGNAGACAUCUGAAAGAGAUUAAAGAUUUAUCGGUGAUGGAUGGGGAUGCGUCUGAUUAGCUUGUUGGCGGGGUAACGGCCCACCAAGGCGACGAUCAGUAGGGGUUCUGAGAGGAAGGCCCCCCACAUUGGAACUGAGACACGGUCCAAACUCCUACGGGAGGCAGCAGUGAGGAAUAUUGGUCAAUGGACGAGAGUCUGAACCAGCCAAGUAGCGUGCAGGAAGACGGCCCUAUGGGUUGUAAACUGCUUUUAUAAGGGAAUAAAGUGAGAGUCGUGACUCUUUUUGCAUGUACCUUAUGAAUAAGGACCGGCUAAUUCCGUGCCAGCAGCCGCGGUAAUACGGAAGGUCCGGGCGUUAUCCGGAUUUAUUGGGUUUAAAGGGAGCGUAGGCCGGAGAUUAAGCGUGUUGUGAAAUGUAGAUGCUCAACAUCUGAACUGCAGCGCGAACUGGUUUCCUUGAGUACGCACAAAGUGGGCGGAAUUCGUGGUGUAGCGGUGAAAUGCUUAGAUAUCACGAAGAACUCCGAUUG
RNAcentral lists this ribosomal RNA (595 nucleotides) under uncultured Bacteroidota bacterium. RNAcentral's name for it is "bacterial SSU rRNA". It matches the Rfam family "Bacterial small subunit ribosomal RNA", at positions 122 to 715 of the family's 1533-position model. Lineage: Bacteria; Pseudomonadati; Bacteroidota. The record is from RNAcentral.